AUGGACGCCGUCAAAGCCAUCAUCUUGGACGUAUUCUCCGCGGGCAGUGAAACAACAACUACGACAAUUGAGUGGGCCAUAUCAGAGCUGAUCAACAACCCGAUGGCCAUGCAGAAGGCGACAGCUGAGGUGCGACAAGCCUUCCACGCCCAUGGCACCGUGGCCGAGCACGGCCUAAGCGAGCUCCCGUACGUACGCUUGGUCAUUCGAGAGACGCUGUGGCUGCAUCCGCCCUUGCCAUUGUUGUUCCGCGAGUGCCAGGAACCGUGCCAAGUGCAGGGAUAUGAUGUGUCACGGGGCACACAGGUGUUGGUCAAUGCUUGGGCUCUAUGCCGCGAUGAGCGCUAUUGGCCCGACGCACCUGAGGAGUUCCGGCCAGAACGGUUCGAGGAAGAAGCAGCAAAGGCGGACUUCGGGGGUAGUGACUUCGCAUUCGUGCCAUUCGGUGCCGGCCGCAGGAUGUGCCCCGGGAUGGCGUUUGGCCUCGCCGGCGUUGAGCUCCCGCUUGCAAGCCUGCUCUUCCACUUUGACUGGGAGCUACCAGGGCCAGGCUCAGUGAAGCUCGACAUGACAGAGACGUUCGGCCUCACCGCGCGGCGGACGGACCAGCUCCCGUUGCGCCCUGUCCUUCGCAUACCUAUUCCCGGAGUUUAG
RNAcentral lists this ribosomal RNA (654 nucleotides) under Triticum aestivum (bread wheat). Its description in RNAcentral is "partial small subunit ribosomal RNA". The record is from RNAcentral. Lineage: Eukaryota; Viridiplantae; Streptophyta; Magnoliopsida; Poales; Poaceae.